This 2959-nucleotide ribosomal RNA is filed under the name marine sediment metagenome. Its description in RNAcentral is "bacterial LSU rRNA". It matches the Rfam family "Bacterial large subunit ribosomal RNA". The record is from RNAcentral.
CUAAGAGCAGACGGCGGAUGCCUUGGCAUCGGUAGGCGAAGAAGGACGCGGAAAGCUGCGAUAAGCUUCGGGGAGCCGCUAACAGGCAUUGAUCCGGAGAUUUCCGAAUGGGGAAACCCAGCCGGGGUAAUACCCGGUUAUCAUACACUGAAUACAUAGGUGUAUGAGGCGAACGCAGGGAAUUGAAACAUCUAAGUACCUGCAGGAAAAGAAAAUAAAAAUGAUUCCGUCAGUAGCGGCGAGCGAACGCGGACCAGCCCAAACCAUAUACUUUUCGGAGUAUAUGGGGUUGUGGGGCCCCGACGUGGGAUUGUUGAGGGAUAGUAGAACGGCAUGGAAAGGCCGGCCAGAGACGGUGAUAGCCCGGUACACGAAAUUCUGAAGCACCCUAGGGGUACCCCGAGUACCACGGGACACGUGAAACCCUGUGGGAAUCCGGGAGGACCAUCUCCCAAGGCUAAAUACUAACCGAUGACCGAUAGUGAACCAGUACCGUGAGGGAAAGGUGAAAAGUACGGGGGGACCCGAGUGAAAUAGUACCUGAAACCGUCUGCUUACAAGCAGUGGGAGCACUAUGUUGCUUGCAACAGUGUGACCGCGUGCCUUUUGCAUAAUGAGUCAACGACUUACCCUGUGUAGCGAGGUUAAGCCGCGAGGUGUAGCCGUAGCGAAAGCGAGUCUUAAUAGGGCGUUUAGUUACAUGGGGUAGACCCGAAGCCGGGUGAUCUAUCCAUGGCCAGGGUGAAGCGAAGGUAAUACUUCGUGGAGGCCCGAACCACUAUAGGUUGAAAACUGUUUGGAUGAGCUGUGGAUAGGAGUGAAAGGCUAAUCAAACUCGGUGAUAGCUGGUUUUCUCCGAAAUAUAUUUAGGUAUAGCCUCGUAUGUUUACUGACGGAGGUAGAGCACUGAUUGGACUAGGGGUCUCACCAGAUUACCAAACCCAUUCAAACUCCGAAUGCCGUCAAGUUAGAGUACGGGAGUCAGACUGCGGGAGAUAAGUUCCGUGGUCGAGAGGGAAAGAACCCAGACCGCCAGCUAAGGUCCCUAAAUUCAUGCUAAGUGGAAAAGGAGGUGGAACUGCCCAGACAACCAGGAGGUUGGCUUAGAAGCAGCAACCCUUUAAAGAAAGCGUAACAGCUCACUGGUCGAGUGGGGCUGCGCCGAAAAUUCAACGGGGCUUAAGCAUGGUACCGAAGCUGCGGAUCAUAAAAAUCUUCGGAUUUUUAUGAUGGUAGGAGAACAUUGUGGCCGCCUGAGAAGGUACACCGUAAGGAGUGCUGGAGGUUCCACAAGAGCUUAUGUUGACACGAGUAGCGAAAAACAAGGUGAGAAACCUUGUCGCCGAAAGCCUAAGGUUUCCUGUAGUAAAGUUAAUCUGCUCAGGGUUAGUCGGCCCCUAAGUCGAGGCUGAAAAGCGUAGACGAUGGGAAACAGGUUAAUAUUCCUGUACCACCCUGCUGGUGUUACGGAUACGGGGGGACGGAGAAGGGUAGAUCAUCCGGGUGUUGGAUGUCCCGGUUCAAGCGUGUAGGCGGAGGACUUUGGCAAAUCCGGGUCCUCAUUCAACGCUGAGGCGUGAUGACGAUUCCUUUUUGGAUAUAAAGUGAUUAAUCCCAUGCUUCCAGGAAAAGCCUCGUAUUCAUUCAGCAAGGUGACCGUACCGCAAACCGACACAGGUAGGCAGGAAGAGUAUUCCAAGGCGCUUGAGAGAACUCUGGUUAAGGAACUCGGCAAAAUAGCACCGUAACUUCGGGAGAAGGUGUGCCCCCAUUACGUGAUACGAUUCGCACGUGGAGCGGAAGGGGGUUGCAGUGAAAUGGGGGGAGCGACUGUUUACUAAAAACACAGGACUCUGCUAAGUCGAAAGACGAUGUAUAGGGUCUGACGCCUGCCCGGUGCCGGAAGGUUAAGGGGACUUGUUAGCGCAAGCAAAGCAAUGAACCGAAGCCCCGGUAAACGGCGGCCGUAACUAUAACGGUCCUAAGGUAGCGAAAUUCCUUGUCGGGUAAGUUCCGACCUGCACGAAUGGCGUAACGAUUUCCCCACUGUCUCAACCAGAGACUCAGCGAAACUGUAGUACCGGUGAAGAUGCCGGUUUCCCGCAACAAGACAGAAAGACCCCGUGCACCUUUACUAUAGCUUGGCAUUGUAGCUUGGGCUAUCAUGUGUAGGAUAGGUGGGAGACUUUGAAGCGGCCACGCCAGUGGUCGUGGAGUCAAUCUUGAAAUACCACCCUUGCUAUCUUAGGCUACUAACCCAGACCCGUUAUCCGGGUCGGGAACAGUGUCUGGUGGGUAGUUUGGCUGGGGCGGUCGCCUCCUAAAGUGUAACGGAGGCGCGCGAAGGUUCCCUCAGGUUGAUUGGAAACCAACCGAAGAGUGUAAAGGCAUAAGGGAGCUUGACUGCGAGAGAGACAUCUCGAGCAGGUACGAAAGUAGGUCUUAGUGAUCCGGCGGUCCCGAAUGGAAGGGCCGUCGCUCAACGGAUAAAAGGUACGCCGGGGAUAACAGGCUUAUCUCCCCCAAGAGUCCAUAUCGACGGGGAGGUUUGGCACCUCGAUGUCGGCUCAUCGCAUCCUGGGGCUGGAGCAGGUCCCAAGGGUUUGGCUGUUCGCCAAUUAAAGCGGUACGUGAGCUGGGUUUAAAACGUCGUGAGACAGUUUGGUCCUUAUCUGUUGCGGGCGUAGGAUAUUUGAGGAGAGCUGUUCCUAGUACGAGAGGACCGGAAUGGACGAACCGAUGGUGUUCCAGUUGUCACGCCAGUGGCAUCGCUGGGUAGCUAAGUUCGGAAGGGAUAACCGCUGAAAGCAUCUAAGCGGGAAGCCCACUCCAAGAUUAGAUAUCCCGUGGGGUAAUACCCACCUCAAGGCUCGUUGAAGACUACAACGUUGAUAGGCCAGGUGUGGAAGUGUAGUAAUACAUGGAGCUUACUGGUACUAAUUAGCCGUGAGGCUUAACC